This 504-nucleotide ribosomal RNA is filed under the name uncultured bacterium. RNAcentral describes it as "partial 16S ribosomal RNA". It matches the Rfam family "Bacterial small subunit ribosomal RNA", at positions 30 to 523 of the family's 1533-position model. The record is from RNAcentral.
AUUGAACGCUGGCGGCAGGCCUAACACAUGCAAGUCGAACGGUAGCACAGAGAGCUUGCUCUCGGGUGACGAGUGGCGGACGGGUGAGUAAUGUCUGGGAAACUGCCCGAUGGAGGGGGAUAACUACUGGAAACGGUAGCUAAAACCGCAUAACGUCGCAAGACCAAAGUGGGGGACCUUCGGGCCUCACACCAUCGGAUGUGCCCAGAUGGGAUUAGCUAGUAGGUGGGGUAAUGGCUCACCUAGGCGACGAUCCCUAGCUGGUCUGAGAGGAUGACCAGCCACACUGGAACUGAGACACGGUCCAGACUCCUACGGGAGGCAGCAGUGGGGAAUAUUGCACAAUGGGCGCAAGCCUGAUGCAGCCAUGCCGCGUGUAUGAGGAAGGCCUUCGGGUUGUAAAGUACUUUCAGCGGGGAGGAAGGCGGUGAAGUUACUAGCUUCACCGAUUGACGUUACCCGCAGAAGAAGCACCGGCUAACUCCGUGCCAGCAGCCGCAGUAA